RNAcentral lists this ribosomal RNA (454 nucleotides) under Escherichia coli. Its description in RNAcentral is "partial 23S ribosomal RNA". It matches the Rfam family "Bacterial large subunit ribosomal RNA", at positions 2187 to 2640 of the family's 2925-position model. The record is from RNAcentral. Lineage: Bacteria; Pseudomonadati; Pseudomonadota; Gammaproteobacteria; Enterobacterales; Enterobacteriaceae.
CGGCCUUGAAAUACCACCCUUUAAUGUUUGAUGUUCUAACGUUGACCCGUGAUCCGGGUUGCGGACAGUGUCUGGUGGGUAGUUUGACUGGGGCGGUCUCCUCCUAAAGAGUAACGGAGGAGCACGAAGGUUGGCUAAUCCUGGUCGGACAUCAGGAGGUUAGUGCAAUGGCAUAAGCCAGCUUGACUGCGAGCGUGACGGCGCGAGCAGGUGCGAAAGCAGGUCAUAGUGAUCCGGUGGUUCUGAAUGGAAGGGCCAUCGCUCAACGGAUAAAAGGUACUCCGGGGAUAACAGGCUGAUACCGCCCAAGAGUUCAUAUCGACGGCGGUGUUUGGCACCUCGAUGUCGGCUCAUCACAUCCUGGGGCUGAAGUAGGUCCCAAGGGUAUGGCUGUUCGCCAUUUAAAGUGGUACGCGAGCUGGGUUUAGAACGUCGUGAGACAGUUCGGUCCCUA